CCCCCCUCAACAAGUAAUUUCGAAAGCUGCAUAAGACGAAGGCAGUAAUUUCGAAUUCAAUGCCCACGCAACAAGUAAACAUAAAGUUCAAGAAACGAUACCAUUGCACGGCUACAAGUGCAUUGGACACAUCCAAUUAAAACCCAAGCAAACACCAAAAACUAGUGCAACAAAUAGGCCAACCAAAGCAUCUUGCCUUUUGUCCUAUAAUACUCAUUUCAAUUUGGUUUUACAAUUUAAACAGAGGCCAAUUUUUUUGUUGGACCAAAGUGGUGAUGAUGAUGAUAACCACAAUGCAGAGAAUUGACAUUGAAAAUAUAUAUAUAUAUGUUAAAAGUAAAUAAAAUACAUUACACACAAUAUCAAGAAUUCCUACUCUAAACCUUCUACAGCUUAAGA
This 399-nucleotide long non-coding RNA is filed under the name Salvia miltiorrhiza (redroot sage). RNAcentral describes it as "long non-coding RNA (SMIL_LNC000964)". The record is from RNAcentral. Lineage: Eukaryota; Viridiplantae; Streptophyta; Magnoliopsida; Lamiales; Lamiaceae.